UUUUGGGAAAUGGCUACGAGGGGAAGCAGAUCGGAGAAGGUGAAGAGGAUUUUUCAGCAAUUUGAUGGUAAUCAUGAUGGGGGUCUUAAUCGAGAGGAAAUGGCAGCUUUGGUGGUUGCUGUAAACCCUAGGGUUAAGUUUAGCGAAGAGCAAAUUAAUGCUAUUCUCGAUGAGGUUUUCCGUACGUACAGCGAGUUUAUUGAUGGUGAAAAGGGGCUUACUUAUGAGGGACUUUUGCGUACGUAUGAUGAUGGUGCUGGUGAUGUUGAUCGUGAUUUUGACGCUCUUGGGCUUGAGCUUAAGCCGGAGGAUAAUGCUGGAACUUCAAUUGCUGCGGAGGAGGCUUCUUCGUCGUCGAUUGCGGAUGAGAGAGUGAUGGAGCCUCAUAAGAAACAGCGGACUGCAGCUUGGGCAGCUUCUCCGAAUCAUGGCAUUGUGUUUGAUGAUACUUGGAAGCUUGUAGAUGACCUUGAGAUAUUGAUCAAGAGGCUUAAAUCGAAACAAUCGAAAGAUGGGAAGCUGAAGAAUGAUAAUUCUGAUGUUUAUUCGGAAGGUUGGUCUAGGGAAUUAGGGCCUUCGACGGAG
RNAcentral lists this unclassified non-coding RNA (585 nucleotides) under Hevea brasiliensis (rubber tree). Lineage: Eukaryota; Viridiplantae; Streptophyta; Magnoliopsida; Malpighiales; Euphorbiaceae. The record is from RNAcentral.